GCAAUCCCCAGAGUGAAUGUAGUUCUCCAAUCCCCCAAACAUGAGCCAAGACUUCAUGAAGGGGAAAACAAAUCUCAGUUUAAUGGGAGCCACACUUGGCCUUAUAUGGCAAACCCCAUGCAAGGGGUACGCCCACAUGGACCUGAUGGUAGACUGAUUUGCAACUUCACAGACCAAUAACAAUAAGGUUACAAGGCACAACACUCC
Non-coding RNA from Pelobates cultripes (western spadefoot toad), 207 nucleotides. NCBI's taxonomy places the organism in Eukaryota, Metazoa, Chordata, Amphibia, Anura, Pelobatidae. The record is from the annotation of a GenBank genome assembly.